Molecule: long non-coding RNA, 988 nt
Organism: Daphnia pulicaria
Lineage: Eukaryota; Metazoa; Arthropoda; Branchiopoda; Diplostraca; Daphniidae
Exons: 5
Source: RefSeq, a predicted model, not a curated record
GCUUGGACACUGGCUGUGGACAUCUGGCGGCCAGAUUUGUUUUCAAUUUCGGGGCAUAGCUAGUCCUUUAGCCCCUACCUUCUUCUUGGUUCCCUGUCAUAGUGUCAGAUGAAGCGUGGGUUUCGAGAGUAAAGAUGUUCUUCGUUGGUUUCUUUUUUUUUCUGUUAGCUGGGUAUGUCUUCGUGAGGAAGAAAUAUUUGCCAUUUGUUUCCGAGACGCUCGACUUAAAAGUGUAUUCCAAAUUCAUUACGGAAUUAAGGUGUCGAUCUACAUUUUCAGCCAUUAAAUGUGAUCUGGCAUAUAAUUUCAUUUGGCCAAAUAUGAUGACGUGGGUCGAAACUUCUGCCAUUUUGUCGAAAUGUCGGCCAUUGUUAGCUGUACGUCUCAUUUCGUGCAAACACUUCAGAGCUAGUAAAGUCAGAGAUGGAUAUCGCUUUUCUCAACUGUUGCAGAAACUUAGAACACGACAAAGUCUGUGCUUCAUGGCUGUUGUAUCAUUAAUGUGGUUUUGUUGUAGCCAGCUGGUGAAAGGUGUGAUCGAGUCAUGGUUGAGUUGCAGCUUCUGCAUGCAGUUUAUCAAGCUGGUGCUAUCCCAAGUCCAGGUGAAGUCUGUGCUUCUUUGUUGCAGUCUAAUGUGCACAUGGAUUGGUUGCAGUCAUCCAGUGAAAGGUGUUAUUAAAUUGAGCUGCGUUGCAUGCAGUCUUUGGUGCUGAUGUUGUCCUGGAGAGUGGGAGAGUCCCAUGCUUUAAGUCUUCUGGGAUCAGCCAUAUCUGAGUUGACGCUGGAUCAUGCUGCAUUGUGGUUGCCGAAAUGUUGGACAUCUAGUAGAACUGCAAAAAGACUACUUGAAAUGGUUUAUGUUUACCUAGCAGUGAUGUUGCUGUCCAAUAUGGCAUGUUGUUGCAGCUUAUACUGGUGAAAGAUUUUUUGCAUCGAGUUAUGCUGUUGCUGUUCUUUGGUGCCGGACUGCUGGUGUUGUGCACAAAAG